This 370-nucleotide ribosomal RNA is filed under the name uncultured organism. RNAcentral's name for it is "bacterial SSU rRNA". It matches the Rfam family "Bacterial small subunit ribosomal RNA", at positions 526 to 896 of the family's 1533-position model. The record is from RNAcentral.
CGAAGGGGGCUAGCGUUGUUCGGAAUCACUGGGCGUAAAGCGCACGCAGGCGGAUUGAUAAGUCAGGGGUGAAAUCCCGGAGCUCAACUUCGGAAUUGCCUUUGAUACUGUCUGUCUUGAGUCCGGGAGAGGUGAGUGGAAUUCCUAGUGUAGAGGUGAAAUUCGUAGAUAUUAGGAAGAACACCAGUGGCGAAGGCGGCUCACUGGCCCGGUACUGACGCUCAUGUGCGAAAGCGUGGGGAGCAAACAGGAUUAGAUACCCUGGUAGUCCACGCCGUAAACGAUGGAUGCUAGCCGUCGGGGAGCUUGCUCUUCGGUGGCGCAGCUAACGUAUUAAGCAUCCCGCCUGGGGAGUACGGUCGCAAGAUUA